Molecule: long non-coding RNA, 4773 nt
Filed under: Mus musculus (house mouse)
Lineage: Eukaryota; Metazoa; Chordata; Mammalia; Rodentia; Muridae
Description: long non-coding RNA chr15:29824539-29829312
Source: RNAcentral
GCAGAUCAAAGAACAACAUAAAUUGAGGCAAGUUUAAAAUCCCUUGCCUAGUGCACCUGAACUGCUGGUAUAAUGAAACAGGGGGAGCUAAUCUAAGGUCUACGAUGAUAUCGGAUGAUAUUCUUAGCUUUUGGAUUGGAAGAAACUAGUAUUCUGUUAUGUUAAUACCCUCUACAUGGUGCUUUCAGUACAGAAUGGGGUAUGAGUUUGUUUCAGAAGGCUAAAACUAACCUAAAUUAUGGUAAUUAGCCCCUGGACCUGUAAAAUUCCAAUUUCUCAACAGUACUGAACUUCUAACCAGUCCCGCAAUUUCUGCAGACAGACUCCUUCCAGAAACUGUUCAUUCGCAGCUAGAUAAUGCUUCUUUUCAGGAACUUUCUUUCACAAAGUGAAAUAGAAAUUGUGCAAGAGUGCUACUUCCUGGCCCUCUCUCCGUGGAUCAUUUAGCUUUCAACUUUAUACAACCAAGGACUACUUGUCCACUGGGGUCUGGACCCUCCUGUAUCAAUUAUUCAUCAAGAAAAUGUCCCACACAUUUGCUUACAGGAAAUCUGAUAGAAGCAUUUUCUCAACUGAGGUUCCCUUAUCCCAGAUAACCCUAGCAUUUGUCUACUUGACAAAAAUCUCACCAGCACAGUUACUAAACAUUUUCUGAUCUCAUGUGAGAGGGAGACUUGCAAGUCAAUUUUAGUAUGUUACAAUAAUGAAGCUUUACACGUCUCCAGAUAACACUUUUGAUUUAAUCAUUUCCCAGUGAGUGUGGUACAGUGAGAUGUUGCUGUGUAAGAAGUAGAGCUCACUUUUCAGCUUCUUACCAAUAAAUUCAAAAUAUUCUACUUCAAAAAAAAAUCAUCAGGAGAAUGAUUAAAUGUGAAAAAUCAAGUUAUAUGUCAAAUUGACUUUGAAAAAUAACUUUUAUGGAACCCUACAACUAUCUACUGUAAACUCAGUGACUCAAGAUAGCUCACAAUAUGGUACACCAAUUUCUACAUGUAAGUUAUGUCAAAAUUUAAUUGUUUUAAUAAAAACAACCUAAAAUGUACAGUAUUAAGGCAUAGUUUACAUUUUCUCAACUGAGAAAUUAUUAGUACAAUUUCAAAGUAUGGUUUUUGAUAAGUCUUAAAAAUAAUUAUUGCUUAAUACAAUAUCAUAUUAAAAACUUUAAAAAAAUCUUUAUAUCCCUAAAAUGUUCUUGUAUACUGUUUUAAAAUAAGUACUAUCAUAAACCCAAUGUUUGGUGACCAUUUGCUUACUGUGGACAAAAUCUGAUUUUCAUAGUAUCAUAUGACACAUAGUCUUCCGUUGUUAUUAUUUUUUAACAAAUAUGUUUAGAUUCAUCUAUGUCACUGUAUAUCUCAUUAGUUCAAUCGUAUGCUGGAAUUGAUUUUCCAUUACAUGGACAAGGCAAGGUUUUUCUAAUGUCUCACUAGCUAAGAAACAAUUAGAUUGCCUACUGUUUUGAAUUACUCUAAAGAAAACUACUAUGGACAUUUAUAUACUUCUUAUAUACUAAUGAAAUGUUUAAUUCUUCUUUAAAGAGAUAGAAGAGGAAUUGGUACCUUGUAUGUAAUGUUAGUUUCCUUUCCUAGAAGUAACCUUCAUUCAUACCUGUACAUUUCCUUCUCUGUGAAAGUUUUACAAACUUGAAAAUUGUUCAUAAAAUAAGAGGUAGGAUUGCAAUUAAUUGAAGGAAAACUUCUCCCAUUUUAAAGUUGUUAUUUAGUCUAUAAACAUAAUAUGCAGAAUUUACUUAGCUUUCCUUUAAGUUUCUGAAACAAUUUGUAGUUUUUAAUGCACAGUAGUGCAAUAUUUUACCGAUGUGUUUUUAUGCCAUCGUAACGGUGGUUCAAUCUCCUGUUUCAGUUGUUUACUGCUAGUGGUUAGGAAUAAGCUUGAUUUAGAUAUUAAAUUUCUUUUAGCUUGCUACCUAAUUAAUUAUGAUUUUUGUUGAGCCUCUAAAAUUUUAUAUAUGUGUUCAUUUCAUGACAUCAGUGAGAAUUAUCUAUCCUCUUUCCCAUUUAUCAUACUUUAUUUUCUUGAAGAAUCAGUAAUAAAGUGGUUCUUCUACUUGCUCGCCCAGGAAUUUGCAACACAUGAAUAUUAACAAUGAACCAGCCAGAACUUAAAUUUUCUUCAUAGGUGUCUCAGUUAUAAAUAUCUGUUUUAAAAACCCGACAGGAGUCAUUUGGUGUUUGUCAUUCAUUUGAGCUAUAAAUUUCAUCAUCUGUUAUUGUAAGAAUGUGACUGACCCCUCGUUUUGUUGCUAUAGACUUUGACAUUUACCUUGUUAUUUUAAUCCUACGUGAUGUCAGUGAUCUGGUAAUGCCACGCAUGCAUCCUCCUUCCUCGAUAAUUAGCCUGGCGGCCCUUCUGCUGGGUAGUUUUUAUCUUUCACACUUUGUGUCACAUAAAUGUUUUUGGUAAUUAUUCACUCAUUUAGAGGUCUUGUCUUUCAGUGUUUCAUUUUAUUAUUUACUUAAUUCUGCUUUGGGGGGAAUUAAACAUUUCCGUUUUCUAGUUCCUCAAAGUAAUGCUUAGCUGGAUCCAGGCUUUCAGCAAGUUCUCUUAAGUGCUGAACCAUCUCUCUAUUCCCUAGAGUGUAAUUCAAAAUACCGAGAGUGUUGGAAAACAGACCGAUAUUUAUAUUAAUAAUUCCUCAUAUUAUUUAUAUUCAUAUUUACAUAUGAAUAUAUAAACAUAUGGAAUAUGUAUGAUACUUUCUCUUUCCUAAACAUAAACAGGCAAACUAUAAAUCUAUUUCAAAGCACAAUUUAAUGAUUUCAUUUUUUAAAACAGCUUACAUACUAUGACGAAUAAGAUAAAAAAAAACUCUAAAACUUGUUUUCAUUUUCUAUAUAAACAUGUUUAUUUUGGUUUAGAAGGCAAUUAACCUGGUAGAUCACACCAUGGAAAUGAGGUUUUGUAUUGGUUGCUUCAAUGUGGGGUGUCAGAUGUCAUGCUAAUGUGUUGUUGUUUUUGUCAGUCAUGUAAGCUCCUGAAUGAGAUAAUUGUGUGACCAGAUAGAAAUCUGUGAUUCCUUCUUUGGCCUUUCAAAGAAAAUAAAAAUUAUAAUACAUGCACUUGCCUGAGUGUAUGUAUGUGUGCCUCAUGAAUAUGCAGUGCCUGUGUAGGCCAAAGAGGGCAUGAGAACAAGCACUGGACCUUCAGCUAAGGAUGCUUGUGAGCCUCAAUUAUGGGUGAUAUGAACCAGACCCCAAUUCCCAGCAAGGGCUCUUAAGGGCUGAACAAUCUCUCCAUACUCCGGAAGUAUAAUUCAAAAUAUAAAAAACAAAGUGUUAGGAAGCAAAAUAAGCUGUUUAUAUGAAUAAUACCUCAUCACAGAACAGUCUGAUGUAUGUACAUUUGCUCACAUAUAUUCAAUAUGUGUCUCACUUAUCCUGAGCAUGGAUGUAAUCUAUUUGAUAAAAAUAUGAUAACCAUGAAAUAUGGAAGUAAAAUAUCUACCUGCUCCCUUCCAUUGAGUGUGUUGUUCAAUACAGUAUGUCAAGGAACAAAACAUGUAAAAAUUUUAAGCUAUUUUUCAAAAGUGCUGGUGAGUGGGUCUUAUUAAUAAAGUAAAGAGUGAAGGUCACAGGAGCAGUGCUUUUAAGACUGGUCUCAAAUCACAAUAGUCUGGGAGUUUCUGGUUGAUGACUUGCUUUCCAGGUCAUCCUUCCUCAAAUCCUCACCUUUAUCCAUGGUAACACAUUACAUUGCCCCUCCCUGAGAUGGACUGGCUUCCUCAGUGGAAUGUUGUACAUAUCACAUACAGAUUUCCUCUUUGCAACAAAGCACAGUCUGUUGCUAUGGCAAUGACCAACAUCCUGCACCAUGUGCAACUGAGAUUAUAGGUCUCUCCUGCUAGUUGCUUUUAUUUCAAUCAAUUCUCAGAGAUCGUUUUUGUUCUUCUGCUCACUCCAAAGUCAGCAUUUAAAAAGCUUUGAUUAAUGUUUCAGACACAAAUAGUCUACUCAUGGGUUAAGUAGAGGGGCUUUCAUCUGUAUGCCUUCGCCUUUAAAGGAUUAGCCUAUGUAAGUAGUAAGUCACUGUAUGCUAAACACAUCUGCCAGUUUUUAAAAUAUGCCCAAAACUUACUCUUGUCACUGAAUUACAAUGCCAAAGCUUUAUUUUAGUAGGCUUUUAUUAAUUGAUAGAUAUAACUUGAAUUGGCAUAUGCUUGAGUUUUUUUCCCUACUGUACUGCACACUAUCAGUGUAUCACCUUGUAACCAUGAGAGAAGUUUCCUUGUGACAAUGAAUGCACGGAUGCUGUUUGACUCUCACUUUCACUACCAUGUAUGCCCAGAAGUCACCUAUAAAAUGUACAUUGUUUUAACUUAAAUAUAAGUACCACUGUGUUGUUUCUGCAGGCCCAAUAUUCAACACAAAUUAUAGUUUAAGUAACAUUGGCCAUAGAUUUCAUAAACAAAAUGAGGCAGAUAACUAUUUUGAUAGAAAUUAGGUCAUAACAUUGCUAAAUUACCAUUAAUUUUUAAUUAGAACAUUUAGACUUUUUUCACAUUAUUUAGAUUACUAUUUUUGUCACAAUCAGUCAAUGCAAAUUAUUAGCCUGUUCCAUAUACAUACGAGGUCUUAUUAGGCAACGGUGAAGCAUAAAAUUAACCACUACGGAGUUAGAGCACCACUACUUGCCCACCCCUCUCAUGCUUCAGAUUUAAUCUUGGAUUCAAUUAAAUGUCACCUGGUAAUUUUGGUUUCUAUUUAAAGCCCAGACUUCAUCUCACUGAAUAGAAUUAUUUUCUUCCUCCAACAU